GAGGGCGUUCGGCGACGUUACUGGGGCUGCACGGUGCUUGUAGCUGGGCAGUCUUAUCAUCAGAGUGGAGCCUGGUAACCACGACCUCCCCGCCAGGUCCUGUGUGUUGCUAGCUGGAGAAGGGUAGUUGAAAACUCAGACCAAGCACAGUGUUUAUAUCGGUCAAAACUGGAAAACUAUGUCCGGGCGCAGCCGAGGCUGGAGGAUCCCUUCAGGCCAAGAGCAACCUAGCAAUAUGGCGCGACCGGAUCUCUGUAGUCCUACCUCAACCCCCAGCUACUUGAACCCCAAGGUUGAAGGCUCCAGUGAGCUAUGAUCCCACCACAGCAUUGCAGCCUGCCAGACUGAGGGCUUGAGGAUCAGCCAGGUUUCAUGAGUUCAAUGCAGACCUGAAUCAUACCAAGCUGAGACUGGGGUACACACUCUCCUCUACUGAAAAGUAGUGAGGGAUUCCAACUUGGUGAGAGGGAGAGUGGGGGAGAGCCAGACCAGACAAGAGUGCUCACCUGGAAAAAGCCUGCCAUCAAAGGCCAU
Molecule: long non-coding RNA, 534 nt
Filed under: Homo sapiens (human)
Lineage: Eukaryota; Metazoa; Chordata; Mammalia; Primates; Hominidae
Description: HSALNT0362769
Source: RNAcentral